This 295-nucleotide long non-coding RNA is filed under the name Gallus gallus (chicken). Lineage: Eukaryota; Metazoa; Chordata; Aves; Galliformes; Phasianidae. The record is from RNAcentral.
GGCAGUUCCACAGGCACAGCAAUCUAAUAUUGGUUUGUCAGUCACACCUUCAGAGGCUGAAUCUUGUUCACAGAUUCUUUUGGUGAGAGAACCCUCGUCCUGAAAAUAAAUAAUGCGCUUCUGCACAAUACUGGCUUUCAGAAUGACACAGCCCGUACCAGUAGGAGGAGCUGUCCAGAAGACCUGGAUGCGUGUCCUCCUUCUAGGUGUGCUCUCAGUAACCGCGACGGGACAAUUGCUCAUGAACUGCGUCUCUUCUUCAUCUAUGAUCUGAAAAGUUCCCGCAUGGUCUUCC